RNAcentral lists this ribosomal RNA (905 nucleotides) under uncultured bacterium. RNAcentral's name for it is "bacterial SSU rRNA". It matches the Rfam family "Bacterial small subunit ribosomal RNA", at positions 8 to 916 of the family's 1533-position model. The record is from RNAcentral.
AGAGUUUGAUCCUGGCUCAGGAUGAACGCUGGCGGCGUGCUUAAGGUAUGCAAGUCGAGCGGAGAAUAUUUUGUAGCAAUACAUUAUAUUCUUAGUGGCGAACGGGUGAGUAAUGCGUAGAUAACUUUCCCCUAACAUUGGGAUAACCCUGCGAAAGCAGGGAUAAUACCAUGUGUGGUCCAGAGGUGUAAUUCCACUGGAUUAAAGACGUAAGUCGGUUAGGGAUAGGUCUGCGUCCUAUCAGCUUGUUGGCGGGGUAAAUGCCCACCAAGGCGACGACGGGUAGCUGGUCUGAGAGGAUGAUCAGCCACAUUGGAACUGAGACACGGCCCAGACUCCUACGGGAGGCAGCAGUGGGGAAUAUUGCACAAUGGGCGAAAGCCUGAUGCAGCGACGCCGCGUGAGGGAUGACGGCCUUCGGGUUGUAAACCUCUUUCAGCAGGGAAGAAGCGCAAGUGACGGUACCUGCAGAAGAAGCGCCGGCUAACUACGUGCCAGCAGCCGCGGUAAUACGUAGGGCGCAAGCGUUGUCCGGAAUUAUUGGGCGUAAAGAGCUCGUAGGCGGCUUGUCACGUCGAUUGUGAAAGCCCGAGGCUUAACCUCGGGUCUGCAGUCGAUACGGGCUAGCUAGAGUGUGGUAGGGGAGAUCGGAAUUCCUGGUGUAGCGGUGAAAUGCGCAGAUAUCAGGAGGAACACCGGUGGCGAAGGCGGAUCUCUGGGCCAUUACUGACGCUGAGGAGCGAAAGCGUGGGGAGCGAACAGGAUUAGAUACCCUGGUAGUCCACGCCGUAAACGGUGGGAACUAGGUGUUGGCGACAUUCCACGUCGUCGGUGCCGCAGCUAACGCAUUAAGUUCCCCGCCUGGGGAGUACGGCCGCAAGGCUAAAACUCAAAGGAAUUGACGG